GGGUUGUGAGGUUAAGCGACUAAGCGUACACGGUGGAUGCCCUGGCAGUCAGAGGCGAUGAAGGACGUGCUAAUCUGCGAAAAGCGUCGGUAAGGUGAUAUGAACCGUUAUAACCGGCGAUGUCCGAAUGGGGAAACCCAGUGCAAUUCGUUGCACUAUCGUUAACUGAAUACAUAGGUUAACGAGGCGAACCGGGGGAACUGAAACAUCUAAGUACCCCGAGGAAAAGAAAUCAACCGAGAUUCCCCCAGUAGCGGCGAGCGAACGGGGAGCAGCCCAGAGUCUGAAUCAGCUUGUGUGUUAGUGGAACGGUCUGGAAAGUCCGACGGUACAGGGUGAUAGUCCCGUACACCAAAAUGCACAGGCUGUGAACUCGAAGAGUAGGGCGGGACACGUGGUAUCCUGUCUGAAUAUGGGGGGACCAUCCUCCAAGGCUAAAUACUCCUGACUGACCGAUAGUGAACCAGUACCGUGAGGGAAAGGCGAAAAGAACCCCGGCGAGGGGAGUGAAAAAGAACCUGAAACCGUGUACGUACAAGCAGUGGGAGCACCUUCGGGUGUGACUGCGUACCUUUUGUAUAAUGGGUCAGCGACUUAUAUUCUGUAGCAAGGUUAACCGUAUAGGGGAGCCGCAGGGAAACCGAGUCUUAACUGGGCGUUAAGUUGCAGGGUAUAGACCCGAAACCCGGUGAUCUAGCCAUGGGCAGGUUGAAGGUUGGGUAACACUAACUGGAGGACCGAACCGACUAAUGUUGAAAAAUUAGCGGAUGACUUGUGGCUGGGGGUGAAAGGCCAAUCAAACCGGGAGAUAGCUGGUUCUCCCCGAAAGCUAUUUAGGUAGCGCCUCGUGAAUUCAUCUUCGGGGGUAGAGCACUGUUUCGGCUAGGGGGUCAUCCCGACUUACCAACCCGAUGCAAACUACGAAUACCGAAGAAUGUUAUCACGGGAGACACACGGCGGGUGCUAACGUCCGUCGUGAAGAGGGAAACAACCCAGACCGCCAGCUAAGGUCCCAAAGUCAUGGUUAAGUGGGAAACGAUGUGGGAAGGCACAGACAGCCAGGAUGUUGGCUUAGAAGCAGCCAUCAUUUAAAGAAAGCGUAAUAGCUCACUGGUCGAGUCGGCCUGCGCGGAAGAUGUAACGGGGCUAAACCAUGCACCGAAGCUGCGGCAGCGACACUAUGUGUUGUUGGGUAGGGGAGCGUUCUGUAAGCCUGCGAAGGUGUGCUGUGAGGCAUGCUGGAGGUAUCAGAAGUGCGAAUGCUGACAUAAGUAACGAUAAAGCGGGUGAAAAGCCCGCUCGCCGGAAGACCAAGGGUUCCUGUCCAACGUUAAUCGGGGCAGGGUGAGUCGACCCCUAAGGCGAGGCCGAAAGGCGUAGUCGAUGGGAAACAGGUUAAUAUUCCUGUACUUGGUGUUACUGCGAAGGGGGGACGGAGAAGGCUAUGUUAGCCGGGCGACGGUUGUCCCGGUUUAAGCAUGUAGGCUGGUUGUCCAGGCAAAUCCGGAUAAUCAAGGCUGAGGUGUGAUGACGAGGCACUACGGUGCUGAAGUAACAAAUGCCCUGCUUCCAGGAAAAGCCUCUAAGCAUCAGGUAACAUUAAAUCGUACCCCAAACCGACACAGGUGGUCAGGUAGAGAAUACCAAGGCGCUUGAGAGAACUCGGGUGAAGGAACUAGGCAAAAUGGUGCCGUAACUUCGGGAGAAGGCACGCUGGUGUGUAGGUGAAGUCCCUGCGGAUGGAGCUGAGACCAGUCGAAGAUACCAGCUGGCUGCAACUGUUUAUUAAAAACACAGCACUGUGCAAACACGAAAGUGGACGUAUACGGUGUGACGCCUGCCCGGUGCCGGAAGGUUAAUUGAUGGGGUUAUCCGUAAGGAGAAGCUCUUGAUCGAAGCCCCGGUAAACGGCGGCCGUAACUAUAACGGUCCUAAGGUAGCGAAAUUCCUUGUCGGGUAAGUUCCGACCUGCACGAAUGGCGUAAUGAUGGCCAGGCUGUCUCCACCCGAGACUCAGUGAAAUUGAACUCGCUGUGAAGAUGCAGUGUACCCGCGGCAAGACGGAAAGACCCCGUGAACCUUUACUAUAGCUUGACACUGAACAUUGAGCCUUGAUGUGUAGGAUAGGUGGGAGGCUUUGAAGCGUGGACGCCAGUCUGCGUGGAGCCAACCUUGAAAUACCACCCUUUAAUGUUUGAUGUUCUAACGUUGGCCCCUGACCGGGGUUGCGGACAGUGUCUGGUGGGUAGUUUGACUGGGGCGGUCUCCUCCCAAAGCGUAACGGAGGAGCACGAAGGUUAGCUAAUCCUGGUCGGACAUCAGGAGGUUAGUGCAAUGGCAUAAGCUAGCUUGACUGCGAGCGUGACGGCGCGAGCAGGUGCGAAAGCAGGUCAUAGUGAUCCGGUGGUUCUGAAUGGAAGGGCCAUCGCUCAACGGAUAAAAGGUACUCCGGGGAUAACAGGCUGAUACCGCCCAAGAGUUCAUAUCGACGGCGGUGUUUGGCACCUCGAUGUCGGCUCAUCACAUCCUGGGGCUGAAGUAGGUCCCAAGGGUAUGGCUGUUCGCCAUUUAAAGUGGUACGCGAGCUGGGUUUAGAACGUCGUGAGACAGUUCGGUCCCUAUCUGCCGUGGGCGCUGGAGAAUUGAGGGGGGCUGCUCCUAGUACGAGAGGACCGGAGUGGACGCAUCACUGGUGUUCGGGUUGUCAUGCCAAUGGCACUGCCCGGUAGCUAAAUGCGGAAGAGAUAAGUGCUGAAAGCAUCUAAGCACGAAACUUGCCCCGAGAUGAGUUCUCCCUGAGACUUUAAGUCUCCUGAAGGAACGUUAAAGACGAUGACGUUGAUAGGCCGGGUGUGUAAGCGCAGCGAUGCGUUGAGCUAACCGGUACUAAUGAACCGUGAGGCUUAACCUUACAACGCCGAAG
RNAcentral lists this ribosomal RNA (2923 nucleotides) under Klebsiella pneumoniae. Its description in RNAcentral is "bacterial LSU rRNA". It matches the Rfam family "Bacterial large subunit ribosomal RNA". The record is from RNAcentral. RNAcentral also lists the same sequence under 1 other name. Lineage: Bacteria; Pseudomonadati; Pseudomonadota; Gammaproteobacteria; Enterobacterales; Enterobacteriaceae.